Molecule: ribosomal RNA, 199 nt
Filed under: uncultured bacterium
Lineage: Bacteria
Description: partial 16S ribosomal RNA
Rfam family: Bacterial small subunit ribosomal RNA
Source: RNAcentral
UAGGCUGCAACUCGCCUACAUGAAGUCGGAAUCGCUAGUAAUCGCGGAUCAGCAUGCCGCGGUGAAUACGUUCCCGGGCCUUGUACACACCGCCCGUCACACCAUGAGAGUUUGUAACACCCAAAGCCGGUGGGGUAACCUUUUGGAGCCAGCCGUCUAAGGUGGGACAGAUGAUUGGGUGAAGUCGUAACAAGGUACC